AUAAACCAAUGUGCGAGACAGGUAAACCUGAACUAUUACAAUAACCACCUCAUCUAUCCUAGAAUAGUCUAGAUUAAUUGAUAGAUUGGACAAAUAUAUAGUCAUAUCAUAUUAUGAGAGGCAGCAAAGUCAACUAGUCAUUUUGUGUCUUUGCAUUUUACUGAGGUUGCACAGUUUGCAAAAACUUCCUGAGUGGAUUCGUUUCAGUUUGAACGCUUCAAAGGUGCGGUACAUUUUUUGUUUUUUGUAAUUAAUUAAAGAAAUUUUUUCCUGAAGAAGAAAGUUGAAAAAAUGAAAAGGGCUAGAGUUAAUAAGACUAAACAUUUGGUGGUAUUGCGAUAAAGACAUCGAUUAUUUGAUUUAUGUUUGACUAAAUGUCGCCAGUCGGCAACAGGCCAAGUUUUUGUCUACAGAUGCCAUAGCACAAAAGUUGUUUUUUUGCAACAUUGGAUUAAGGCAGUGAGUUACUCUUGUUGGGGCUGGAGUUCAAAAUAUCUAUUGUUAAAUGCACGUUAUGUACUGUUGCUAUUGGAUACCAUAUAUUUUAUUUGAUAAUGACUCUGUUUAUAAGAAUUUUAUGAAGUUGGAUUUGAUUCUUAUCCUCAUUAUCUAGAAUGAUCCAAGGCACCGAUAUGGGCACAACUUGCAUCUUUAUUAUGAAGAUUGGUAUAAGACUAAUACUGGUUAGCCUUUCUUUUACUGGUGAGUGGUGAGAAAACUCUGAAUUAAUUUGAUGCCAUAAAUUUCUACUUUUGAGUGUGUUUUUGGUAGUUUUAGCCCCCGUUUGAGCCCCAUUAUUCCUCAUUACAUUAAAUUAAAUUUUUCUCUCUCCUACUUUUAAACACACAAUCUUCAAUAAAAUAAUAUUACACGUAAAUCAAAAACUUUUCAACCACUUAUUUUUCAAAAAAAUACUAUUCAUCUCAUUAUAAUCUAGGAAUAAUGGGGCUCAAACGGGGGCAGUGCAUUUACAUAUAUAUUAAUUUUUUUAUAUUAUUUGAUUAUAUAUUGACAAAUGAUCCCAUUAUUACGAUAAUUGAUUGUCGACGGUUAACUUCCGUUCUAGUUGACCUUCGAUCUUGGAUUCGCCACUAAUGACCGUAUUGAAAUUCUUUUAUUACCUGGUAGUUCUUUUGUAAUUCUUCUUAAUUUCUGAUUUGGUAUUGAGAAGUGGAUGCAUAGUGGGGUAGGAGGUGAUAAAGACAAGUAUUUAUGUAGUGAAUCUCACUUAAUUCUGGAAUGGAACCUGCUGCAUGUGCAUGCUCUAUUUUCACAGGGCCUGUAUAGACAACACACAAUACAUGGGGGGGGGGUAAUUUUUUUUUUUUUUUAAAACCCCUCACUCCUCCAACCAGCAUGUGAGGGGCCUGUGCAGCAAGCAAAAUCCUUCUGAAAUUAUGGUAAAAAUUAAUUGGCCAAAGAUAAUUUUACAUUACCUUUUGCAACCCAAUUACUGUAUCAGAUAUUCUUACAAUUAUAUCAUAUGCCAACUCUAAAUUGUUCGGCCAUAAAAUCUAAUUAUUUUAUUAAUAUUAUCCUUUGUUAUUUCAUUAUUUGAUUAAAUGAUUUAUUAUUAAUAUCUACUAAUUUAUUAUUAAUAUUAUUCUUCGUUAUUUCAUUAUUUGAUUUAUUUAUUUACUAUUAUUUCCUCGAUAUGUUACAUAUGAGUUUUUCAUAGAUCUGGGGAGCAGCAUUAAUGGCGAUGAGUUGCUUUUCCGUGGAGAAAGAGAUGUUAGUGGAAAUAAUGGAGGGAGACUCAAAAGCGAAAGACAAGGCUCAGAAAAUAGUCUCGUUAGAGGUUGGCUCGAGAUGCCAUGUAAAGUAAUAUACACCAUUGUGACUACAACUUCGCACACAUUUCAUUCCAGCAGUGAUUGUGUUUAUAUAAAGCUAAUAGUUUAGUCUAAACACAGUAAUUGACUAAUUACAGUGCUACAGAUAUAAUCCAUGAUUUCAGCCAUUGAAGCCUUGAUUUGUGAGCAACAAUCAUGCAUUGACUUGUCUGUUGGUUGGCAUUUCUUGAUUUGUAUUUUCCUUAAUAGUAUAGCAUGAUUUGUGGUAUCUCCCUUCCAAUCAUGCUAUAUCGCCAGACUCAGUGACAGAAUUAUUUCUUCCAGACUACACUUGAUUGAUUUUCAUUGAAAGUUGGAAAAACAAAAC
RNAcentral lists this long non-coding RNA (2160 nucleotides) under Olea europaea subsp. europaea. Lineage: Eukaryota; Viridiplantae; Streptophyta; Magnoliopsida; Lamiales; Oleaceae. The record is from RNAcentral.